Molecule: long non-coding RNA, 1396 nt
Filed under: Mus pahari (shrew mouse)
Lineage: Eukaryota; Metazoa; Chordata; Mammalia; Rodentia; Muridae
Description: predicted gene 13613 (MGP_PahariEiJ_G0003294.1)
Source: RNAcentral
CUGUUCAUGCCUGCUCCCUUGUUUUGCUUCCUUCUUAUUGUGUCCCCUGUCACCCUACUUUUUCCAUCCCUAGCCAUUAGUUUCCUGAUUAGUCUGCACUUUCUGCUCCAUUUACGAGUAAGUGACUGCCUCUCAAGUACGCUCAUCUCCAGCUUUGCAUGUGCCCAUUUUCUUACCUAACUGGUCAGCAGGCCAUCUGGAACUGGGAAGAAUAUGCGGUUAGAAGCUGUGGGGUAGAAUGAGGUCACUCAGCAGAUGAUGGAAAGGAAAACAGCCACAGGGCUCCCGAAAAAGCCAAAAAGGGGAAGAAGACUGAUAUAAUCAGACUGAGCUUCCAGCUAAAGAGGAAGGCGAUGAACACGGCCACAAUGAUGUUACUGAAGGAAUUGACCAUCAUCCCAACUUGAGAGCCAGUAGCCUGCAAAUCAAAAGGCUCUCUCACAGACCUGGGAUUAGCCAUUUUUGUCAGUGAGCUCUCAGGAGGAUCAAGGAUCGUCUGGUCUCCCUGCUGCUGGAUUGCAUGUGCAUCACCAAGUGCAGCUUUUUAUAGGGUUUGAAGUCAGACUUGCAUGUUUGCUUGUUAGGUCCCACCCAGACCCUCUCAACUGUUGGAAUGGCAGCUGGAGAGGUCAGUAGAAGCCUGAUCUUGUCCUCCAUCCCAGACCAAUACCAGAAGGAUGGUCAGUAAACAAGCCAUGGAUUUAUAUUCGGUGAAUGCUGAAGGAAUGACCAUCCAGAGACUGCCCCACCUGGGAUCCAUUCCAUAUACAAUCACCAAACCCAGACACUAUUGUGGAUGCCAACAAGUGCUUGCUGACAGGAGCCUGAUAUAGCUGUCUCCUGAGAAGCCCUGCCAGUGCCUGACAAAUACAGAAGUGGAUGCUCACAGCCAUCCAUUGGACUGAGCACAGAGCCUCUAAUGAAAGGAGCUAGAGAAAGGACCCAAGAAGCUGAAGGGGUUUGCAUAGGAGGAACAACAAUAUGAACUAACCAGUACUCCCAGAGCUCCCAGGGACUAAACCACCAACCAACCAUGAGUGCACAUGAUGGGACUCAUGGCUCCAGCUGCAUAUGUAGUAGAGGAUGGCCUUGUUGGUCAUCAAUGGGAGGAAAGGCCCUUGGUCUUGUGAAGGCUCUAUGCCCCAGUGUGGGGGAAUGCCGAGGCCAGGAAGGGAGGGUGGGUAGAUUGGUGAGCAGAGGGAGGGAGGGGGAAAGGGGGUUUUCAGAGGGGAAACCGGUAAAGGGGAUAAUAUUUGAAAUGUAAAUAAAGAAAAUAUCUAAUAAAAAGAUGAUGUUAAUGGCUGAUAUUUACAUGACACUUUAUGCAAAAUAAAUAUGUUAAUAAAACAUGAAAAGAUAAAAAUUAAAAAUAAAUGGCUAGAGACAUUUCUACCCA